Molecule: small RNA, 29 nt
Filed under: Bombyx mori (domestic silkworm)
Lineage: Eukaryota; Metazoa; Arthropoda; Insecta; Lepidoptera; Bombycidae
Description: ovarian small RNA-34737
Source: RNAcentral
UGGCACAGGUAAAUGGGCCCUCCCUCGGU